RNAcentral lists this ribosomal RNA (253 nucleotides) under uncultured bacterium. RNAcentral's name for it is "partial 16S ribosomal RNA". It matches the Rfam family "Bacterial small subunit ribosomal RNA", at positions 524 to 776 of the family's 1533-position model. The record is from RNAcentral.
UACGAAGGGUGCAAGCGUUACUCGGAAUUACUGGGCGUAAAGCGUGCGUAGGUGGUUUGUUAAGUCUGAUGUGAAAGCCCUGGGCUCAACCUGGGAAUUGCAUUGGAUACUGGCAGGCUAGAGUGCGGUAGAGGGUAGUGGAAUUCCCGGUGUAGCAGUGAAAUGCAUAGAGAUCGGGAGGAACACCAGUGGCGAAGGCGACUACCUGGACCAGCACUGACACUGAGGCACGAAAGCGUGGGGAGCAAACAGG